GCCUUCAUGGUGUGGUGGUCAGCACGCUUGGCUCGUAUUCGAGAGGUUUGUGGUUCGAGUCCCGGGGAGGGCA
Molecule: non-coding RNA, 73 nt
Organism: Stegodyphus mimosarum
Lineage: Eukaryota; Metazoa; Arthropoda; Arachnida; Araneae; Eresidae
Source: Rfam